GCCUGGGUGGCUCAGUCAGUUGAGCGUCUGACUUCGGCUCAGGUCAUGAUCUCCCAGUUUGUGAGUUCGAGCCCCACGUCAGGCU
This 85-nucleotide transfer RNA is filed under the name Felis catus (domestic cat). It matches the Rfam family "tRNA". Rfam says of the family: Transfer RNA (tRNA) molecules are approximately 80 nucleotides in length. Their secondary structure includes four short double-helical elements and three loops (D, anti-codon, and T loops). The record is from Rfam by way of RNAcentral. Lineage: Eukaryota; Metazoa; Chordata; Mammalia; Carnivora; Felidae.